This 430-nucleotide ribosomal RNA is filed under the name uncultured bacterium. RNAcentral describes it as "partial 16S ribosomal RNA". It matches the Rfam family "Bacterial small subunit ribosomal RNA", at positions 338 to 795 of the family's 1533-position model. The record is from RNAcentral.
CCUACGGGGGGCUGCAGUAACGAAUCUUCCGCAAUGCACGCAAGUGUGACGGAGCGACGCCGCGUGUGGGACGAAGCCCCUCGGGGUGUAAACCACUGUCAGAGGAUAGAUCGUCCUCAGAGGAAGGCACGGCUAACUCUGUGCCAGCAGCCGCGGUAAGACAGAGGUGCCGAGCGUUAGGCGGAAUCACUGGGCUUAAAGCGUGUGUAGGCGGACCGUUAAGUGCCUUGUGAAAUCCCCCGGCUCAACCGGGGAACGGCUGGGCAUACUGGCGGUCUUGAGUCACCCAGGGGUCAGCGGAACAAACGGUGGAGCGGUGAAAUGCGUAGAUAUCGUUUGGAACGCCGACGGCGAAAGCAGCUGACUGGGGGUGUCUGACGCUGAGACACGAAAGCCAGGGGAGCGAACGGGAUUAGAUACCCUUGUAGUC